AGUAGUGGACUGUGCACCCGGUGGAAACCGCGGCAGCGCGUGGGCUGGCGCACGGCCCCGGCCGGCUAAGACUAGGCUUUUAAUACUCAGGCCACCCCCCACCCCCCUUUGCACCCAACGUGGGAGCGGUUGGCUUUUAUUGAAGCAUUUCAGACGACUUUGCAGAAAGGUCGGCCUGCCUUCGUUUGGCGGGAAGGAUGCCCUGAGGUGCUGCCAGGCUAUACUUCCAGCAUUGGAGCCAGGUGGGAAAGCAAAGCAAAAGCAAAGCAAAACAGCAACCAAAACCCACAAAGUGGUUGGUUAA
Molecule: long non-coding RNA, 304 nt
Filed under: Canis lupus familiaris (dog)
Lineage: Eukaryota; Metazoa; Chordata; Mammalia; Carnivora; Canidae
Description: lncRNA (ENSCAFG00845006899.1)
Source: RNAcentral